UACAGAGGUCUCAAGCGUUGGUCGGAUUCAUUGGGCGUAAAGGGCGCGUAGGCGGCAAGGCAAGUCGGGUGUGAAAGCUUGGGGCUUAACCCCGAAAGGGCACUCGAAACUGCGUUGCUAGAGGGCCGGAGAGGAGAUCGGAAUUCACGGUGUAGCAGUGAAAUGCGUAGAGCUCGUGAGGAAGACCGGUGGCGAAGGCGGAUCUCUGGACGGCCCCUGACGCUGAGGCGCGAAGGCUAGGGGAGCAAACGGG
Molecule: ribosomal RNA, 253 nt
Filed under: uncultured bacterium
Lineage: Bacteria
Description: partial 16S ribosomal RNA
Rfam family: Bacterial small subunit ribosomal RNA
Source: RNAcentral